Molecule: ribosomal RNA, 484 nt
Filed under: uncultured bacterium
Lineage: Bacteria
Description: partial 16S ribosomal RNA
Rfam family: Bacterial small subunit ribosomal RNA
Source: RNAcentral
AUUGAACGCUGGCGGCAGGCCUAACACAUGCAAGUCGAGCGGAUGAAGGGAGCUUGCUCCUGGAUUCAGCGGCGGACGGGUGAGUAAUGCCUAGGAAUCUGCCUGGUAGUGGGGGAUAACGUCCGGAAACGGGCGCUAAUACCGCAUACGUCCUGAGGGAGAAAGUGGGGGAUCUUCGGACCUCACGCUAUCAGAUGAGCCUAGGUCGGAUUAGCUAGUUGGUGGGGUAAAGGCCUACCAAGGCGACGAUCCGUAACUGGUCUGAGAGGAUGAUCAGUCACACUGGAACUGAGACACGGUCCAGACUCCUACGGGCGGCAGAAGUGGGGAAUAUUGGAAAAUGGGCGAAAGCCUGAUCCAGCCAUGCAGGGUGUGUGAAGAAGGUCUUCGGAUUGUAAAGCACUUUAAGUUGGGAGGAAGGGCAGUAAGUUAAUACCUUGCUGUUUUGACGUUACCAACAGAAUAAGCACCGGCUAACUUCGUG